CAACAGGGAUUGCCUCAGUAACGGCGAGUGAAGCGGCAACAGCUCAAAUUUGAAAUCUGAAGUUUACUUCCGAGUUGUAAUUUGAAGAGGAUGCAUUCGGUUGUAGCUCCGGCCUAAGUUCCUUGGAACAGGACGUCGCAGAGGGUGAGAAUCCCGUACGCGGCUGGCGGCUCACUUCCAUGUGUAGCUCCUUCGAAGAGUCGAGUUGUUUGGGAAUGCAGCUCUAAAUGGGUGGUAAAUUUCAUCUAAAGCUAAAUACUGGCGAGAGACCGAUAGCGCACAAGUAGAGUGAUCGAAAGAUGAAAAGCACUUUGAAAAGAGAGUUAAACAGUACGUGAAAUUGUUGAAAGGGAAGCGCUUGCAAUCAGACUUGCUCUCUGUUGAUCAACGUUCCUUUUGGUUCGUGCACUCUGCAGUUUGCAGGCCAGCAUCAGUUGCGGCGGCGGGACAAAGACUUUGGGAAUGUGGCUGCCUUCGGGCAGUGUUAUAGCCCUUUGUGUAAUGCCGCCUGCCGCGAUUGAGGACCGCGCUUCGGCUAGGAUGCUGGCUUAAUGGUUGUAAGCGACCCGUCUUGAAACACGGACCAAGGAGUCUAACAUCUAUGCGAGUGUUUGGGUGUUAAACCCAUACGCGUAAUGAAAGUGAACGGAGGUGGGAGUCUUCGGAUGCACCAUCGACCGAUCCUGAUGUUUUCGGAUGGAUUUGAGUAUGAGCAUAGCUGUUGGGACCCGAAAGAUGGUGAACUAUGCCUGAAUAGGGUGAAGCCAGAGGAAACUCUGGUGGAGGCUCGCAGCGGUUCUGACGUGCAAAUCGAUCGUCAAAUUUGGGUAUAGGGGCGAAAGACUAAUCGAACCAUCUAGUAGCUGGUUCCUGCCGAAGUUUCCCUCAGGAUA
Molecule: ribosomal RNA, 893 nt
Filed under: uncultured fungus
Lineage: Eukaryota; Fungi
Description: LSU rRNA
Rfam family: Eukaryotic large subunit ribosomal RNA
Source: RNAcentral